Molecule: transfer RNA, 68 nt
Filed under: Odontobutis platycephala
Lineage: Eukaryota; Metazoa; Chordata; Actinopteri; Gobiiformes; Odontobutidae
Description: tRNA-Glu
Rfam family: tRNA
About the family: Transfer RNA (tRNA) molecules are approximately 80 nucleotides in length. Their secondary structure includes four short double-helical elements and three loops (D, anti-codon, and T loops). Further hydrogen bonds mediate the characteristic L-shaped molecular structure. tRNAs have two regions of fundamental functional importance: the anti-codon, which is responsible for specific mRNA codon recognition, and the 3' end, to which the tRNAs corresponding amino acid is attached (by aminoacyl-tRNA synthetases). tRNAs cope with the degeneracy of the genetic code in two manners: having more than one tRNA (with a specific anti-codon) for a particular amino acid; and 'wobble' base-pairing, i.e. permitting non-standard base-pairing at the 3rd anti-codon position.
Source: RNAcentral
GUUCUUGUAGUUGAAUACAACGGUGGUUUUUCAAGUCAUUAGUCUUGGUUAGAACCCAGGCAGGAAUU